AUGGAUGAUCCUGUCCAAGUACCAGAAGUAUCAGAUGAAAAAGCUGCCACAUCUUUAGAGAUGGACGAAAUCGCAUCGCAUGCGUCGGUUGGUUCUCAAGGAGUACAAGAGGAAGUGGAGGAGGUUACUGGCAGGCGCAAGCGCAAAGGAUCACAACAUGUCAAGUCUCCUUAUGUGGUCCCUAAACCGAACAAACGUGCAAAACGUUCUGCCAAAGGAAAAUUGUUCCAAAAUGGUGGUGUUAACAAAUCUGGUGAUGAGUAUGAUGUGGUGAAAGCGUCCAUCAAGUACGUGUGUGCGCAUGAGCAUUCACAAAAACAUGCCAAAACAGAAAUUUUCAAUGAUGGCAUGGAAGAAGGUCUCACUGUGCGGAGAGCUUGUCAGAUUAUUAACCAUGAGUGGCUAAGUGGCGACGUAAUUAAUGCAUACUCAUCAUUUUUGGUCGACAAAGUUAAUGAUGAUCAUUUCAUGUUGACAACUUGGAGGAUACAUUGGUUGCUUCACAUUAGACCCGGAAAGAAGACCGCCGGUAACGAUUAUGAAGCAGAGUCGCAUAGUAAUGGACCCGUGAACAAAUGUGAGGACGAGUAUUUCAAAAAAUCAAAGACUUACAUUCCUCUAAACAAGCAAAAUAAUCACUGGAUUACUGUCGUCAUGCAUAGCGGGAAGAGAGAGUUUCAGGUUCUUGACUCGUUGAUGACUGGAAAACUUGACAGUGUUACUAGAGAACUCGUUGAGGACCUGAAAACAACUAGCAGAAGAUAUCCAAGAAGCAAAUGCAACCGGAAUUGUGAAUUAUCCGGAUGUUUCCAAUUGGUCUAUUCAAACGUAUGA
This 834-nucleotide ribosomal RNA is filed under the name Triticum aestivum (bread wheat). RNAcentral's name for it is "partial small subunit ribosomal RNA". The record is from RNAcentral. Lineage: Eukaryota; Viridiplantae; Streptophyta; Magnoliopsida; Poales; Poaceae.